GUAGGCAGAAGUAUCUGGCUGCAGUAGGGGGUCCGACUCUGAUCAAGGCAGGGGGCUGACAGCUGACCUCUGAGUGUCUGUGAGGAAAGUGCAUCCCUGUUCUGUAGAGCACACGGGUGGGUUCUGCAGAAGCGCGAUGGGUACCCAAUGCUUUUGGUUGUAAGUUCUGGGCGGUACUACUUAUCCUUGGAGCCCUAUCACAGGUGGCCAGGUAUUGUGGGUGGGGCCACCAGUCCUUAGGCCCCUGAUGUGGGUAGGUGAAGACCCUGUUUAAUAGGCAAAGCAGUGUCAAACAUCAAACACCCAUCUUUCCACCGUCCAGCUGAAACAGUUGCAGUCUGGCAACAAGGGCCUAUUCUCCUGAAAUGGGCCCACACAGGUCCAUGCUGGGGUGAAAGGUAUUCAAAGCCCAUGGACUGUCUGUGCCUGAACAAGAGCUGCUUCUGUCCUGAGCUCCCCAGCUUAAUUGAGCUGGCAGAUUAUCUUUCCCCCAGUUGUGAACUUAUACCUUCUUCAAGGAUGGAAAAAUGGCUCAGAGUGGUACCAGGGCCUAUCUCAGGCCCAGGGAAGUUGACAGCCACUGAAGCCGGCUUGGGGGCUGGGGGCGUAGUAAAAUAAACACAAGUAAUUAGCUUUUGCUGAGAGUGCCGUUCUUCUCUUGUUCUGGAGGUGUGAGUAGUCUGUGCAACUUGCUGUCCUUCCCUGAGCUAAACGCCUGUGGAAUGCUAUUGCCAGCCCCACUGCAGUCGCUCCAGGGAACGGUGCCUGAGGGUUCCUGGCUAUUCAGGUCCAGUAACUCCUCUCCACUUCUGAAUAGUCUCUCCCUCCCCCUGCCGCUGAGUCCAUUUUCUAACUUUACCUUUGAUGUUCAGGGCUCCUAGCUUGUCAUAAAUAUAAUCGCUUCACUUGUUUUUUCGUGUCUUUUUUGUAAGAGGGAUCACUGGUGGCGUCUCAAUACUCAAAACUUCAUCAUUUCUUCCUUUCACUUUAGCUACUCGACAUUCAAGAGCAACGUUCAGAGUCUCUUCCGACAUCCGUUUUGGUCUUUUCUUUCUUUCCUGUCUUUUAAAGGAUCUCUUGCUUUCUUCAUGUGUGAUGUCCUUGAUGUCAUUCCACAACUCGUCUGGUCUUCAGUCGUUAGUGUUCAACACGUAAAAUGUGUUCUUGAGGUGGUCUCUAAAUACAGGUGAGAUAUACUCAAGGUCAUAUUUUGGCCCCUUUUGACUUAUUCUAAUUUUCUUCAGUUUCAACUUGAACUCCCAUAUGAGCAAUUGACAGUCUGUUUCACAAUCGAUCCCUGGCCUUGUUCUGACUGAUGAUAUGAGUUUUCCCAUCUUCUCUUUCCACAGAUGUAGUCAGUUUGAUUCCUGUGUAUUCCAUCUGGUAAAGUCCACGUGUAUAGCUGCCGUUUAUGUUGGUGAAAAAAAAUAUUUGCAGUGGAUGAGUCACUGGUCUUGCAGAAUUCUUUCAUGAGAUUUCUGGUGUCAUUUAUUUCAGCGAUGCUGUAUUUUCCAACUACUUUUCCUUCUUUGUUUCCAACUUUAACAUUCUAAUGACCAGUAAUUAUCAAUGCAUCUUGAUUGCAUGUUUGAUCAAUUUCAGGCUGCAGAAGUUGUUUAAAAUCUUCAAUUUCUUUAUCUUUGGCAUUAGUGGUUGGUGCAUAAAUUUGAAUAGUCGUAUAAACUAGUCUUCCUUGUAAGUGUAUGGAUUUUAGCCUAUCAGUGACAACAUUGUACUUCAGGCUAGAUCUUGAAAUGUUCUCUUUGAUGAUAUGUAACGUCAUUCUUUUGACUCUAGUGGAAUAUCCAUGUUUGUAAGACUGCUCACAGACUGUUUCACCAGAGAGUUUUCUGGUACUGCAACAUCUACCACUAAUCUCUGUGAUCCCUGUGAAUUGGCAAAAUAAGAAUAGUGCUAUAGAUUUCUUCCAAAUACAGAAAACAUAAGUAUGAAAAUGUUCUUGCUGUUGAUUAUAUUCUUUACCAAUCUGUUUGUAUGGGAUUUUUGGUACUUCACUUGAAAAAUGAGUCCAAGGUACUGUGAUGUGAUUGUUUACUUUGUGUGGCCUUUCUAGCCAUGGUCUUAUAACAUCCACCCUGGUGCUUGGGCAGGACUGUGUGAUAGGGUAAUUGUGGCUCACCAAGGGGAUUGUUUAUUUUCCCUUCAAAGAGAACCAGUUCCAGAGCAAAGAGGAGGAUUCAACUCCCAUCAAGGAAGAACAGCCAAGAGCCGAGCAUAUAUUAUGGACCUGAGAUCCCUGCACUGAGAAGCUCCUAGAAGCAGGAGACUGAGAUAGAGAGAGGAAGCUGUAACCCUGAAGAUGCUUAAAUACAGACCAGAAGAGGAGUUUGGGGCUUGACACCUGACAUCUUAACACCAGUUCCUGUUUCUUGAGGAAGGAAGAGGUAAAAUAAAUCAGCGUUUACUGUUUCCUUCUCCAUCCCCGGAAGUCCUGAUGAAGACCCUCUCAGCUUCAACUUGAACGUGAAUAUGAGCAACUGAUCAUCUGUUCUGCAGUCAGCCCCUGGCCUGAUUCUGACUCAUGAUAUUGACCAAGUGAAGAGUGAUUUAGAGAAAAACAUGGGUAGAGUGUGACCUAAUUUCCAUAAAAACAAAUGAAUGUACUUACAUGUGUCCCGGCAAAAAGAAGUGUGUAAAAGGGUACAUAUGUAUCUUUGGACACUGGACACUUCAGGGGAGCAGGUACAAUAUACUUAUGUGGGGAUGGCUCUUAUUAAAACUUCUAUAUACAAAUCUCUAUUGUUAAAUGUGUUAUAAGAAUGUAAAAGCUUUUAAAGUUUAAUAACAUCAUACGUGUAUGUGUGUGUAUUUGAAACUUUUUUUUUUUUUUUACUAUUUUAUAUAUGUGUUUUUUAGUUAUCUAGUUUUUUUUUUAGUGUGGCUAUAGCAGAGAUACCACAAGUGGAUGGCUUUAACAAACAGAAACUUAUUCUCUCACAGUUUAAGAAGCAACAAGUUUGAAGUCAGGGCACCAGGUCUAGGAGAAAGCUUUCUCUCUUUGUGGCUCUGGGGGAAGGUCCUUGUCAUCUAUCUUCCCCUGGCCUAGGAAAUUCUCAGCGUGUGGACACUGGGUCAAAAAGACGUGCUCCACUCCAGACACUUCUUCCUUGGUGGUAUGAGGUCCCUCUCAUUUCCGCUCACUCUUCUCUUUGUAUCUCAAAAGAGACUGACUCAAGACUCACCCUAAUCCUGUAGAUUGUGUCCUCCCUCAUUAACCUAACUGUCUCUAAUCCCGCCUUAUUAACAUCACAGAGGUUAGAAUUUACAACACAUAAGUAAUUACAUCAGAUCACAAAAUGCAGGACAACCACACAAUACUGGGAAUCAUGGUCUGGCCAGGUGGGCACACAUUUUGGGGGACACUAUUCAAUCCAUAACAAUAGAGAAAACACUGUCUUCAAUGCCAGAUUCAGAGACUUUUAUCCAUCUAUGAAGGGCAAACACAGAAAUUGAACAAAAUUCAGACCAGCGAAUUAUUGCUUGCUCUUGUAACUAACGACUUCUUCUGGUCUCUGUACCUGGAAAUGGCCAAAACGAAUUCUGUGAGGAUUAAUUCAGUUAUUGCUAAAACAUCUACUGCAUUUACAUGUCUACAGAUAAGGAAGAAUGCUGGACACCAUGUGUGAUUCAUUAAGUAACACAGGGACUAUUAGACUGUUGUUCUCCUUCUCUGAUAUGCCACUAUCACCUUCUCCCCUUGUUGCUCUCCUGAAAAACCCACACUUGUAUAUUCUAGGCUUUUUUCCAGGAUUGAAUUUGCAGGAAGUUGAAGAUAUAUCUUUGAAAGAUAAAAAAGACUUUGGCCACAUUGUCUUUAGACAGUCAAACUUCCCAGCCAGCCUCUGUGCAGGAUGGGAAUUCACAAUCCCUCCUACUCAGUACCUCUGAGCAGGACAGGAUUUCUGUUUCAUUAUCAGGAGACUGUGGAAUUCACCCCUCUUCAGAAAACUUACUUUCCUUUGCCUCAAACUGUCCCUCUCAGGAUCUGUCACGGUCACUCUGAGAAAUUCACAUGGGCAGCCUGUAUGGAAGUGCCCAUCCUAGAGACCCUGCCCUCCCUUCCUUGCUCCGUAGGGCUUCCUCUGACACUUGGGGUCACAUCUCCCAGUGAGUACACACCUCUGGCACUUCCAGGGAUUCCCAGGCCCUGGGAUACUGUGGAUGGGACUUGGAACUCAAUCUCUUUCUUCCCAUCCUCACCUUUGGUUAUCUGUGUUCUGUCUUCACCAGAUUUAGGAGGCCUUGUCUUCUCUUUGCUCAUUUCAUUUCAGUCAGGCUUUUCUAUUCCAACUCUCUGAUCUCAGGACAGAUCAGGUUAGACCACAGAAAAGAGAAAGACCAAGCAAACAUCACUGAUCUGUGCAGAAGCUGCUGGGAAGGGAUUCGAUUCUCAUUGGUUUAGGGUUUUAUGCCCACUGCUCACCGGCAGGCAGGUUCCCCCCAGAGUCUGGGUUCUGUCUGGUACCUUGUACUACAAAGAACUCAGUGACCAGCCCACCUUCACAAUCACACCUCCCUUAGAGCUACCUUUGCAGAGGCUCUUUCUCAGACUUCCAUGUCCCACUGAAAUCCCAUUUCUCUUUCCUUACAAACAUUGUGCUCAUUCUCAGGGCCCCGAGACCUUAUCUGCAGGUGAGUCUUGUCCUCUUCUCUCCUUGGCUUUUGAGUGGACCUCAUGUCUUCGGACAGCUAUCCUGGGGCUUCUUCCACCCUGGUGCUCUGGGGCUGGAUCUCUCCAUGUACUAGAGGGGGCGUGGAAGGGGCACAAGGCUAAAAGGAUGGAUCUUCCAGGUGAGGUGGGUUUAAGAAGCCUGAAUGAAGUUCUUCCCUGAAGGGUGCAUAUUUUGCAGUCCACACAUCCUGCUUCUCUCAGUCUGAGAGUCCUAGCAUGUCUUCAUGUGCUUUCUCCUUUGACUUUGAGGCCAUGCCUGCACCCUCUGCAGCCAGGUCUCCCACAUGUGUAGCAGCACCAGUAGGUGUGGUAGCCUCUUCAGCCCCUGUCUCCUCCUCCAUAUGCUCCUGGAGGUACCUGGCUCUUCUUGCCAGGACUCCAGGAUGCUGACCAGGAACUCAGUGUUGGUUAGACUGAGGGCAGCCA
Molecule: long non-coding RNA, 5119 nt
Organism: Loxodonta africana (African savanna elephant)
Lineage: Eukaryota; Metazoa; Chordata; Mammalia; Proboscidea; Elephantidae
Exons: 3
Source: RefSeq, a predicted model, not a curated record